CUUGGCCUCUCACGCCUGUUCCUUUAUCGUCCUAUAUACUGAGAUCUCUAUUUACACAAGGGGCACUUGAGGCUAGUGCCCAGAGGGGUCAUUAAUUAAUAAUUCUGUAUCGAAACUUCAUAUUCCACC
Vanessa atalanta (red admiral) is the source of this 129-nucleotide long non-coding RNA. RefSeq lists it as uncharacterized. The record is from RefSeq and is a predicted model, not a curated record. Lineage: Eukaryota; Metazoa; Arthropoda; Insecta; Lepidoptera; Nymphalidae. The transcript is spliced from 3 exons.